GAUGGGUGCCCCUUGUGGUCGGUGGACAGGUGGUGCAUGGUUGUCGUCAGCUCGUGUCGUGAGAUGUUGGUUAAGUCCCGGCAACGAGCGCAACCCUCGUCCUAUGUUGCCAGCGGGUCAUGCCGGGGACUCAUGGGAGACUGCCGGGGUCAACUCGGAGGAAGGUGGGAGUGACGUCAAUCAUCAUGCCCCUUAUGUCUUGGGCUUCACGCAUGCUACAAUGGCCGGUACAAAGGGCUGCGAUACCGCGAAGUGGAGCGAAUCCCAGAAAGCCGGUCUCAGUUCGGAUUGGGGUCUGCAACUCGACCCCAUGAAGUCGGAGUCGCUAGUAAUCGCAGAUCAGCAACGCUGCGGUGAAUACGUUCCCGGGCCUU
Molecule: ribosomal RNA, 374 nt
Filed under: uncultured Cellulomonas sp.
Lineage: Bacteria; Bacillati; Actinomycetota; Actinomycetes; Micrococcales; Cellulomonadaceae
Description: bacterial SSU rRNA
Rfam family: Bacterial small subunit ribosomal RNA
Source: RNAcentral